GGCCGUCGGUUAAAGGUUGUACAAAUGUUUGCCCUCCACUCAAAGCUCAUACAAAUGUUCGUCCUUGUUUGCACUAUUCAAUCCCAACCUAGGGUUGUAGUGGAACUCGGCGUCUUCCAGGAUGACAUGAUCGUUGAUGAAACCUGCGAUCGUCUCCUGGAUUGCGACGAGUAUUGUGUGGUCGAACACUUGUUCUUUCCAUUCCCACUCGUUCCAUUUGCAUUAAUUAAAGAAAAAGAUAUAAAUAUACAUAAGAUUUAUUUCGUUUCAACAAAUAAAUAAGAUAUGAAUUUAAUGUAUACACAUGUUACUUACUUUGAGCAUCUGUUUAGAAGGUGUAAAUUUGGUAUACUGCAUGCACUCGUAAACGUAGUAUCCACAUAAAUUGGUGUCAUACGUCUGCCUGGGCACCCACCUAUGUAGAAUAGGAGCGGGAAGUGGUGCUUUCAGAUUCAUACGAUAUCUGUCACACCCAUAUUUUAAGAACAAAAUAGGAUGCAUAAAAGACUCAUAUGUGUCCUAGAAACAGUCGCACACAUAAGUAGACAAAUCUCAAUUGUACCAUUGUAGUGUUUAUUACAUAGCGGAACAUAAUAAAUCACAUAGCCUUAUACAUAAAUGAUAGCAAGGAGUAAACAACACUCUCAACGAAAGCUCCACACAGGGACACUGUUGACUAGUUGACUUCAAGCCUAAUACUCAUAACGGUAGUUCUCAUUCCAAUCAUCAUCAUGAGCAUAACCUGGGGUGUUGGGAAAUUGCAAGAGUGAGCACAUAUCGUACUCAACAAGUAUAACCAGGGGUUCAUGAGGCUCAAAUAGCUGACACUGGUUUGACUGCAUUUAGCUUUUAAUAGUGGAUAACGUGUUCAUAAUUAAUAGCAAAUGUCAAGGUAUGAAUAAUCCAAUAAUCAAUGAUCAUUUGUAAGUAUAAUUAACUCUUAGCAUAAUUAACAUCUUUACCCAUGAGUCAUGAUUUACCCUUUCGCCCGAGGUAGCUAAUCUCUUAACCCCCUUCCUAGGGAGGUCGGCAGGGAUCACUAUGAAGCCUUUCAAAAGUUCGUCUAACAUGUUAGGGCCGCA
RNAcentral lists this long non-coding RNA (1082 nucleotides) under Sorghum bicolor (sorghum). RNAcentral describes it as "long non-coding RNA (SBIC_LNC016438)". The record is from RNAcentral. Lineage: Eukaryota; Viridiplantae; Streptophyta; Magnoliopsida; Poales; Poaceae.